Molecule: ribosomal RNA, 497 nt
Filed under: uncultured bacterium
Lineage: Bacteria
Description: partial 16S ribosomal RNA
Rfam family: Bacterial small subunit ribosomal RNA
Source: RNAcentral
GAUGAACGCUGGCGGCGUGCCUAAUACAUGCAAGUCGAGCGAACAGACGAGGAGCUUGCUCCUCUGACGUUAGCGGCGGACGGGUGAGUAACACGUGGAUAACCUACCUAUAAGACUGGGAUAACUUCGGGAAACCGGAGCUAAUACCGGAUAAUAUAUUGAACCGUAUGGUUCAAUAGUGAAAGACGGUUUUGCUGUCACUUAUAGAUGGAUCCGCGCCGCAUUAGCUAGUUGGUAAGGUAACGGCUUACCAAGGCAACGAUGCGUAGCCGACCUGAGAGGGUGAUCGGCCACACUGGAACUGGAACACGGUCCAGACUCCUACGGGAGGCAGCAGUAGGGAAUCUUCCGCAAUGGGCGAAAGCCUGACGGAGCAACGCCGCGUGAGUGAUGAAGGUCUUCGGAUCGUAAAACUCUGUUAUUAGGGAAGAACAAAUGUGUAAGUAACUGUGCACGUCUUGACGGUACCUAAUCAGAAAGCCACGGCUAACUACGUG